GGUUGUAGCUCAGUGGUAGAGUGCUUGCCUAGAAUGUGUGAGGCACUGGGUUCAAUUCUCAGCACCA
RNAcentral lists this transfer RNA (67 nucleotides) under Marmota monax (woodchuck). Its description in RNAcentral is "tRNA.Ser". It matches the Rfam family "tRNA". Rfam says of the family: Transfer RNA (tRNA) molecules are approximately 80 nucleotides in length. Their secondary structure includes four short double-helical elements and three loops (D, anti-codon, and T loops). The record is from RNAcentral. Lineage: Eukaryota; Metazoa; Chordata; Mammalia; Rodentia; Sciuridae.